This 492-nucleotide ribosomal RNA is filed under the name uncultured bacterium. RNAcentral describes it as "partial 16S ribosomal RNA". It matches the Rfam family "Bacterial small subunit ribosomal RNA", at positions 29 to 507 of the family's 1533-position model. The record is from RNAcentral.
AGUGAACGCUGGCGGUAGGCCUAACACAUGCAAGUCGAACGGCAGCACAGUAAGAGCUUGCUCUUACGGGUGGCGAGUGGCGGACGGGUGAGGAAUACAUCGGAAUCUACUUUUUCGUGGGGGAUAACGUAGGGAAACUUACGCUAAUACCGCAUACGACCUACGGGUGAAAGCAGGGGAUCUUCGGACCUUGCGCGAUUGAAUGAGCCGAUGUCGGAUUAGCUAGUUGGCGGGGUAAAGGCCCACCAAGGCGACGAUCCGUAGCUGGUCUGAGAGGAUGAUCAGCCACACUGGAACUGAGACACGGUCCAGACUCCUACGGGGGGCAGCAGUGGGGAAUAUUUGACAAUGGGCGCAAGCCUGAUCCAGCCAUACCGCGUGGGUGAAGAAGGCCUUCGGGUUGUAAAGCCCUUUUGUUGGGAAAGAAAAGCAGCAGGUUAAUACCCCGCUGUUCUGACGGUACCCAAAGAAUAAGCACCGGCUAACUUCGUG